CACACAUUAAAUUCAAGGGCUUUAUUGGCAUGGGAAACAUAUGUUAACAUUGCCAAAGCAAGUGAAGUAGUUAAUAAACAAUAGAAAUUAACAGUAAACAUUACACUCACAGAAGUUCAAAAAUAAUACCUCUAUACCUCCUCUAUACCUCCCCCACUUCCUCUUUCACUCUCUCAACCCCCCUCCGUCUGCUCUUCACUUGUUGCCUCCUUCCCUCCCAUAUGUGUGAAAGUCAGUCUGGCAGGGCGUUUCACUAUAAUGAUAGUUCUGUGACCUCCCAUGAUCCAGACAGGUUCUCUCUGCUAUGAACACAGCAGUUACUCCCUAGUUCACAGUAGCACACAUUCAACUUUUGCAGGUUUCAACCUCAUAGGACAAAUACAUUCAGUAAAAUACAAUGGCAGUUGAAAAAAAAAAAAAUGUCCUUCAAAUGUGAAACUCUGGACAAGCUGGAUGUUGGUUAAGGGCUUGUCAGUAAGCAUUUCACGGACCUGAGCCCUAGGACCAUGCCCCAGGACUACCUGACAUGAUGACUCCUUGCUGUCCCCAGUCCACCUGGCCAUGCUGCUGCUCCAGUUUCAACUGGCCUGGGCCCUAGGACCAUGUCCCAGGACUACCUGACAUGAUGACUCCUUGCUGUCCCCAGUCCACCUGGCCAUGCUGCUGCUCCAGUUUCAACUGUUCUGCCUUACUAUUAUUCAACCAUGCUGGUCAUUUAUGAACAUUUGAACAUCUUGGCCACGUUCUGUUAUAAUCUCCACCCGGCACAGCCAGAAGAGGACUGGCCACCCCACAUAUGCUCUCUCUAAUUCUCUCUUUCUUUCUCUCUCUCUCGGAGGACCUGAGCCCUAGGACCGUGCCCCAGGACUACCUGACAUGAUGACUCCUUGCUGUCCCCAGUCCACCUGACUGUGCUGCUGCUCCAGUUUCAACUGUUCUGCCUUAUUAUUAUUCGACCAUGCUGGUCAUUUAUGAACAUUUUAACAUCUUGGUCAUGUUCUGUUAUAAUCUCUACCCGGCACAGCCAGAAGAGGACUGGCCACCCCACAUAGCCUGGUUCCUCUCUAGGUUUCUUCCUAGGUUUUGGCCUUUCUAGGGAGUUUUUCCUAGCCACCGUGCUUUUACACCUGCAUUGUUUGCUGUUUGCAGUUUUAGGCUGGGUUUCUGUACAGCACUUUGAGAUAUCAGCUGAUGUACGAAGGGCUAUAUAAAUAAAUUUGAUUUGAUUUGA
This is a long non-coding RNA of Oncorhynchus nerka (sockeye salmon), 1231 nucleotides long. RefSeq lists it as uncharacterized. The record is from RefSeq and is a predicted model, not a curated record. NCBI's taxonomy places the organism in Eukaryota, Metazoa, Chordata, Actinopteri, Salmoniformes, Salmonidae. The transcript is spliced from 2 exons.